This 250-nucleotide ribosomal RNA is filed under the name uncultured bacterium. Its description in RNAcentral is "partial 16S ribosomal RNA". It matches the Rfam family "Bacterial small subunit ribosomal RNA", at positions 524 to 773 of the family's 1533-position model. The record is from RNAcentral.
UACGGAGGGGGCUAGCGUUGUUCGGAAUUACUGGGCGUAAAGCGCACGUAGGCGGACUGGAAAGUCAGAGGUGAAAUCCCAGGGCUCAACCUUGGAACUGCCUUUGAAGCUAUCAGUCUGGAGUUCGAGAGAGGUGAGUGGAGUUCCGAGUGUAGAGGUGAAAUUCGUAGAUAUUCGGAGGAACACCAGUGGCGAAGGCGGCUCACUGGCUCGAUACUGACGCUGAGGUGCGAAAGCGUGGGGAGCAAAC